UAAGACAGAGGGUGCAAACGUUGUUCGGAAUUACUGGGCGUAAAGCGCGUGUAGGCGGUUAUGCAAGUCGGGUGUGAAAGCCCGGAGCUCAACUCCGGAAGUGCAUUCGAUACUGCGUAGCUAGAGUACUGGAGAGGAUGGUGGAACUCUCGGUGUAGAGGUGAAAUUCGUAGAUAUCGAGAAGAACACCGGUGGCGAAGGCGGCCAUCUGGACAGAUACUGACGCUGAGACGCGAAAGCGUGGGGAGCAAACAGGAUUAGAUACCCUGGUAGUCCACGCCGUAAACGAUGGGUGCUAGGUGUCACGGGUAUUGACCCCUGUGGUGCCGAAGCUAACGCAUUAAGCACCCCGCCUGGGAAGUACGGCCGCAAGGCUA
Molecule: ribosomal RNA, 377 nt
Filed under: uncultured bacterium
Lineage: Bacteria
Description: bacterial SSU rRNA
Rfam family: Bacterial small subunit ribosomal RNA
Source: RNAcentral